RNAcentral lists this unclassified non-coding RNA (292 nucleotides) under Hevea brasiliensis (rubber tree). The record is from RNAcentral. Lineage: Eukaryota; Viridiplantae; Streptophyta; Magnoliopsida; Malpighiales; Euphorbiaceae.
CAAUACCAUGAAGCACACAUCAUAUGAUUAUCAGGGUAAAAAUAAACUUGCAGAGGAUUCCCAUGGACGAAUUUCUGCCAUUCCAGCAGUUGUUGGUCCAUCUGCUUCUUCAUUUAAACAUGAUAAAUGNNNNNNNGCCACUGAUUUUUUCAGUCAGGUUUCUCAAGAAAAAGUAAAGGGAGAAGGCUUUGAUUCACGCACACAGAAUAAAGGCUGUAGAUCACAGAAGUCUAUAGGUCCAGGUGGAAAUUUCGGCACCAAUUGUGGAUCCAUUCCAGUUCAUAGCAUGCAG